This 268-nucleotide unclassified non-coding RNA is filed under the name uncultured fungus. RNAcentral describes it as "partial contains small subunit ribosomal RNA, internal transcribed spacer 1, and 5.8S ribosomal RNA". The stretch from base 1 to 73 matches the Rfam family "Eukaryotic small subunit ribosomal RNA", at positions 1759 to 1831 of the family's 1831-position model. The record is from RNAcentral. Lineage: Eukaryota; Fungi.
ACAAACUUGGUCAUUUAGAGGAAGUACAAGUCGUAACAAGGUAUCCGUAGGUGAACCUGCGGAUGGAUCAUUACCAAAGGAAUACCCUUUCCUACGUACUGUGAACUGUUUUGACUGACAGUCAGUGACUGGGUUGCCUGUCAUGGGCACAGUUGCUGGCUGUACACAUACUAUACGUACUUUACAGACUGAAAUACUACUUUUGUAUGAACAAAAGACAACUUUUAGCAAUGGAUCUCUUGGUUCUCGCAUCGAUGAAGAACGCAGC